Triticum aestivum (bread wheat) is the source of this 6060-nucleotide long non-coding RNA. RefSeq lists it as uncharacterized. The transcript has 6 exons. NCBI's taxonomy places the organism in Eukaryota, Viridiplantae, Streptophyta, Magnoliopsida, Poales, Poaceae. The record is from RefSeq and is a predicted model, not a curated record.
UCGAUCCCCUCGAGGACACAACGCCGCCCUCGUGCGAUCUCGAGGUCACAGCGCCGCCUCCCCUCGAUCGCCAACUCCGACGUACGAUCUUGCCGCCGCUGACCUCCCAGAGGAGACGUCGCCCGCGGACGUCCGGGAUCGCCGCCGCGGACUUAAGGGAUCAACGUCGUCGACCUCCCAGAGGAGACGCCGCCGCCGCCGACCUCUGAAGGGAGAUGCCGCCGCCACCUCCGCUAAACCCUAGGCAUCCACCACCGUGAUCCCGCCGUAGGGUUCCGCCUGCGUUCACCACCAUGCGAUCGACUUCCUCCCUCAGCUCCUUUUCUCUACGCUCUGUCAGGCUGCAACAGCCUAAGUUUCUAUUUUCUAUCUUGGCUCCAAUGGCAGUAGUAGGAUGCUCAUUGGCAACCCAAGGUGUGUAUGCCCCUACUUCCCCAAGAUGUAUGCUGCUGUGAGGCAUGUAGCACCACUUCUCCUGACUGCUAUAAUCAGUGGAAGAUCUCAUGACAUGAUAGGCGUCAUGGUCUCAUGGAAUGGACAUCAUGGGGCUUAUUAGGAACUCUGAGUUCAGGGGCACCAUGCCGAAAGAGGUCAAUCUCUUCCAAUACACAAUCGCUGAGGUAUGUAUCAAUGUCUAAAGGUUAAAAAAGACCCAGGUUACACCAUAUGGUUUAGGUUGCUCACCUUGGUGGCUGACUAGGCGUUCAAAAAUCUUAGUGAGAGUAUAAAGGACAUUGUUGAUGGUGCAAUAAUGGAACACAACAAGUUGUGUGUGUGUGUGUGUGUGUGUGUGUGUGUGUGUGUGUGUGUGUGUGUGUGUGUGUCGCACGACCUGGGAGUCUACAUCUAAGAGUUCCUUUCAAUUUUCUAUCAGAAACAUUUCUUUAUAAAAGUUCUGUUGGACACUUAUCUUCUCUUUACUUAUCGUUUCGUGGGACUACGAAAAAGUUCAUCUGUGUGUAACUACAGGGUUCUCGAAGUCCGCCCUCUCAUUGACAGGGUGAAAGUUGUGGAAUUUUUGCUUUAACUGCUGGAGUAAGAUGACAGGACAUACAAAGGUGCAUUCAAGUUGAAGAUUCAAAGUUGCAAGGCAAGCACAGUUAACAGGGAUAAGAAACUAUAGAAGAUUUAUCAAACCAGAUAUGGGCUUGCUUAUGCACUGAAUCAUUGUGGAGGAUCUCAGGUAAUUAGGCCAUACACCCAAAAUUAAAUUUUACUUGCUUUUAAAUGUUUAGGGGGCAGAUGAUGUUUCAUAUGCUAGACUGAAGUACGCACCUUUUAAGAGUAUCACUGAUACUCCAGUCACCCAUAAAAAUGGAAGUACUGGAAAUUAGUUUGUAAGGAAAAUAACUAAAUAGUGAGUCCGAGCAAACCUACUGCCUAGAUUACAUGAGAUCAUUUUAGCUGUAAGUGUUUCUUUUAUCUUUUUUUACAUUCUGGUAAACAUGUGGGUGAAUAACUGUUAGAAAUUGUUCUGUAUGUACACGUGCAUUCUACUAGAACUGAUGCUUGAAAGAAUAAAAAGUUCUAUAAUAUUUGUAAGCCAAGCAGUGGAAAAGCUCACUCCUCACAGUAGAUUACCAUCGUCUACGUAUCUGCUUUGUCCAAGCAGAGUCCACAGGUUUACUCAUGUCAUCUGUUUUUUGUUGUUUGAGGGAAGGUUUGUUAGGAAGCCCAUCUCUUCUGCAGCAAGCCCUGCAGAAAGAGAGCUAGAUAUAAUGGUACUUGCUAGCCUUUUAAUGGACACUUCCUUUUGGCCUUUUUUUAGUUUCUCUAAUUAGGUAAAAUACUUCAAUGACUGAGAAUUUUUUAUUCCCUCCCUUUUUCAUUGUCUUUUUGAGUUUUGCUUUGUGGUGAGAGGAGGAUAGAGAUACCCAAUUGCCGUGGGGAUCAGAGAUUAGGUGAGGUCACAUUGUUUGUCUCGGCUUUACAAUGUGAGGUAAAGGAAGAAAAUAAAGUAAUGUUAGAAUAUUACAAUCAUAUAUCUAGACAUAUCUCUACUCCUAAUGGACCAGUUGGAAAAUAAAAGCCGGGAGAAGUAUGAAUCCGAACACGACCCCCUCCGUCCUCCUCCCGCGACGCGCGUCACGGGAGAAAUCCUAGCGCCGCUGCCGCCGGGACCCCCUCCUCCUCCCCUUCUCCCCUCCCCUGCCGCCGCCUGCGAGCAAGGCCGGGCAAAGCCCGGUCAGCUCUGGCGGUGUGUGUGUGUGUGGGGGGGGGGGGGGUCUUCCCUUCACCGUGUGGCCACGUGUGGCGCAGGAUGCCGUGGCCGGUGAAGGCGCGGUGCAAGCAGGGGGCACGGCGGCGUGGCAUCUGAGUCUGGGGCGGCGAUGCCUGGCCAGGUGCUCGUGCGGGUGGCUCUACGGCGGGGGUGGCUGCGAUGUUGCCGGCGGCUGCGUUUGUGCGCGCCCAGAUCUGGCAGCGGCUGCGCCCGCGGCUUGCGCUGGCUCAGCUGUUGCCUGGGUGGCUCGGCACGUGCGGGAGCUCGGCGGGCGGCGGCUUGGGUCGCCGCUGCACCUCGCCGUCCGGCUGUGUGGUUACUGGUGGUGGAUAGCGGUCGUUGGUGACAUUCAUCUUGUCCAGCCAUGGCGCAGGUCUGAGUGUGAGGCCAAUCCAGCCCCUGCUAAGCUUGAACAUGUCGCGACAUAGGGCUGGACCUUUCCCAGUGAUGGCCACAGUUGAGGGAUGGAUCCGACGCCGGGAGGGCCACGGAACCAUCCUUGCCUCCUGUUAGGUGGCGCACCGGGGAGCUCGUCCUUGCACGGCCUGGCAAGCCGGGGCGGUGGCGGCCGAGUACGGCCGGCCCGGGGGUGGGCCUCGGACCUAGGGACCAUCCAAGGGCAGGGAAGGAGGUGCCUUCCCGCCCGUCUCUUUGCCUUUCAUGGCUGCAAGCUUCGGUAGGGGAUGGUGUCGGGACCAUUGGUGUUGGGGCGGUGGCCCUGGAGGUGGGAGGCGUGGGCUCAUGGGCGGAGCUCACGGCUCGGGUGUGAGCUAGCUGCCGUGACCGUGCGGGGGGUGUGGUGGUCAGGGUGCGACAACCGGAGGGGUAGGUCCGGCGGGCCUGGUUUGUUGUGCGUCGCCUCUGGGGCUGUGAGGACUUCCCGGGGUGAAAACCUGCUUUGGCUCUGCCAAGCCGACGGUGACGUCGCCUAUGAUUACAACAGUUACAGUAGCUAACUAUUUAAAAUGCCCGUGGCAACGCACGGGCAUUCUACUAGGAAACUUGUUACAGUAGCUAACUACCCCAUGAUUACAACAGUAAAUAUUGAUAGGAGUACAAGCAUUGGAGGAGUACUCAGUACUCACCAUGUUCGACAAAGUCGUGGUGGUGGUGGUGGUUGAGGAAGUCGUAGGUAACGGCGGCAUCAUGACGGAGCAGGGACCAUCUUCUCCUCGAUUUAAGAAUAACAAGACUUUCAGCUCAUUCAAAUUGUUGUAGGGCACAUGCAUAUACUGUCUUUGAAGUACCAAGAAAACAGGAUAACACAUUGGAAACAAACAUCUAUGUAGCAAUCGCUUAUUCAGGUGCAGAGUAAAAAGCCAAUACACAAUAACGAACGGUGGUUUGAUUAAAGAUUAGUCGUCUGGAAAAAUAUACCUUGCCGUCGCUCAAGUUUUGCUUGGAGGUGGGUACGGUGGCCAAAUGUGUUGAGAAUCCACCCAAGUAAUCGGCCUGACGAUGCGGUGCUUAGAGGGGAGGGAGUAGAUCUUGCAGGCGAAAUUGUCCAUAGGCUUGAGGCGGCCGUGUCCCCGUGACAAGUCGGUCGGCUGUGUCCCCAUUUAUAUGAUCACGUAAAUCACUGGUUGGUAUUCUAAAGAUAUUAACUUCGACAUGCAAAUCAUCGGUUGGUAUUUCAACGAGUCCGGACAGUUGAAUACUUGAUCAUCAUUACUUGUAUUAUUUCUUUGUAAUAACAUCAAAGAUAAUGAUCAGUGAUAGUGUAUUCAUCUACCUAAUUGCUUUAUCAGUUUGCACGGUGAGUAUUUUAUAAUGCAUAUUCUUACAUAUUGCACAUAAUAGCCUCAUGCUAACAACAUAUAUUGCUCGUGUGGGAUAGUUACAAUCUUUGUACACUUGCUUAAAUACCAUGUGAAUUACGCCAAAGACAACAUAUCUAAGUUAUACAUGAAUUUCUUAAGCGUGUCAAAGUAGAUAUGUUACAUUACUUAGCUGAAUCAUUGUUUUCUAUACUUUAUACAAGCACGGCCUGUUAUAACAUUUUGGCCAUCGUGAGUGGCCCAAAUUUUGGGGAGCCUGAGCUGGUUGCAUGGUUAGAUUUUGCGGAGUCUAUUGGGCGCCACUUGGAUGUAUGAGUGACAGACACCGUGGGAAUGAAGCUAAAGACAACUUUCCUGAUAUUGUUAAAGAAUUUCUUAAGUGCAUCAUCUAGAUAUUGAUAAUUUUGUAAUAGAUGUUUAGAUGGAACAUCGCUCAGUUUGUUACAUGGACAUGUCGUUAGUCUUUCUUUUUGUUAUCAAUUUUCAUUGCAAAAUGGACUUCAAUUGUUCAGUAAUUGCGUUUGUGUUAUAUUGUUUGUGCAUGUGAAAUUUAACAUGUAACUCUUCUAAACUUUUUCAAGAGCCCGUGACAACGCACGGGCAUCUUCACGCUCACACCCAAGUUCAAUCAUCUACACAUGGAGUAGUGCAAGUGAGUGGUCUUUACCAUGCCCGAAUCGACAAGAGGUAGUGGCAUCAGGAGCUGCAUCGUCCAGGAGCAGCAGCAGCCUUUCCAAUCGCUCCUUGCGCCUUGCCUUUCCAAUCUACUCACGCGGCAGAGAGCAGUUCUUGGCCACAGUACAUCUGCAUCCCUGUUCCAUCCAGAGCAACAAUCACAAUCAGCUCUAGAAUCUCUCCUUGCCUUUCCCCAAAUCAUAGGCUCCAAAGAUUGGAAAGAUGUGGGGAAAAUUAAGGAUGCAAACCUUGCAGGUCGAGCGUGGGGAGCUCGACUUCGGGGGCGACCUAGGAGCAGGUGACGACGAACUCGUCGAAGCGAUGGAGGACCAGCAGCGUUUGGGAUGGCAGCGUCCAACACGACGCUCCUCCUUGCAGGUCGAUGGCGACGAGGAGCGCCAGCGUCCGUCGCCGCCGUCGUCCAGCAGAACAAGGCCGCCGUGCCCGCGCUCGUCAGGCUCCAACUCGACCUCACUAAAACAACCAACUUUGGCUCGACCGUGAUGCAGAGGAUGCGGGCGAGAGGAAGAGGCGACGCGGACGAGAAUGUGAGGAGGCGACGCUUGGGGAGAAGGGCGGCGACGCGGCUGAGUCGCCAGCACAGCUGAGGGGGAGGUGCACCGCCGACGCAGGUGAGGGGGAGGCGCGUCGCCGCCGUGGGCUAGGGAUUUAGGGGAGUGGGUGAGCGAGGAGAAUGAGCGUGAAGAUGGGACUGAGCGAGUGGGUGAGUGAGUGAGUAAGCGAGGGGUAAAGCUGGAAACCACAGGAAGUAACUUUUUCGAGAAAUGUACUACAAGAACCAUCAAUAUUCAAAAUACAAGCAUUUAUUUUUAUUAUCACUAUUUUAAAAUAAUACUAAUUUAGGAAAUUGCAGGAUGUGUCUGGCUAUUAUUAUUUUUAUACUCUGGUGGAAUGGUAAAGAAUUACUUCGUCCGGUUAGUACCAUGAGUAUUUUCCGUUGCACAUUUUAAGACCUUCAACAUGAAGUAUUCUUGUUACACGUUGCUUGUGUAAGAUGUGUAUAAGCUGAGGAAGAAUGCUUUAUUAUAUUUGCUCAAAUAUUGUGCGAAUGAAACUGAAGACAACAUUCUUGAUAUUGUGUGAGAAUUUCUUAAGCAUAACAACUAGAUAUUAAUUUGUAAUAGAAUUUUAGUUGGAUCAUCACUAUAUGUAGAUAUCAUUAAUUUAUCAUUUUUUAUCAAUCUACAUUGUAAGUGAAUUGGACUUCAAUAAAUACCCAACUUUGCCCGUGCUAUCUUGUCUCUACAUGUAAAAUUUGACAUGCAUUAUGUUUACAUAAUUCUAGCAAAAUAUUUUCGUAGCAAAUGGCAAGGCACCCACAUUCCCGUGAUAUCUUAUCUCUACAUGUGAAAUUAAACACGCAUU